GUCUACGGCCAUACCACCUGAACGCGCCCGAUCUCGUCUGAUCUCGGAAGCUAAGCUGGGUCGGGCCUGGUUAGUACUUGGAUGGGAGAUUUAGUUUGGCCAAGUCAUCCAGAUGGUGCUGCAGAGC
RNAcentral lists this ribosomal RNA (127 nucleotides) under Panthera tigris altaica (Amur tiger). Lineage: Eukaryota; Metazoa; Chordata; Mammalia; Carnivora; Felidae. The record is from RNAcentral.